RNAcentral lists this ribosomal RNA (497 nucleotides) under uncultured bacterium. RNAcentral's name for it is "partial 16S ribosomal RNA". It matches the Rfam family "Bacterial small subunit ribosomal RNA", at positions 28 to 507 of the family's 1533-position model. The record is from RNAcentral.
GAUGAACGCUGGCGGCGUGCCUAAUACAUGCAAGUCGAGCGAACAGACGAGGAGCUUGCUCCUCUGACGUUAGCGGCGGACGGGUGAGUAACACGUGGAUAACCUACCUAUAAGACUGGGAUAACUUCGGGAAACCGGAGCUAAUACCGGAUCAUAUAUUGAACCGCAUGGUUCAAUAGUGAAAGACGGUUUUGCUGUCACUUAUAGAUGGAUCCGCGCCGCAUUAGCUAGUUGGUAAGGUAACGGCUUACCAAGGCAACGAUGCGUAGCCGACCUGAGAGGGUGAUCGGCCACACUGGAACUGAGACACGGUCCAGACUCCUACGGGAGGCAGCAGUAGGGAAUAUUCCGCAAUGGGCGAAAGCUUGACGGAGCAACGCCGCGUGAGUGAUGAAGGUCUUCGGAUCGUAAAACUCUGUUAUUAGGGAAGAACAAAUGUGUAAGUAACUAUGCACGUCUUGACGGUACCUAAUCAGAAAGCCACGGCUAACUACGUG